This 211-nucleotide long non-coding RNA is filed under the name Elaeis guineensis (African oil palm). RNAcentral's name for it is "long non-coding RNA (EGUI_LNC031943)". The record is from RNAcentral. Lineage: Eukaryota; Viridiplantae; Streptophyta; Magnoliopsida; Arecales; Arecaceae.
UAUUUCAACCCUUCUCUGAUACCAAUUGAAGGGAAAAAAAAUUGUUUCUCUUCAGAUAGUCCAGAUUGCAUCUAAAAUUUUUUAUUAAUCUACAUGAUUAAGGAUCAAAUUUUUACCUAAAAAGUAAUAAAAUUAGAGAUCAAAUCUCUAAAAAUCUGAAACAAACAUUCGUAGAAGCCUGGAUGUGCAAACCCUCUAUUUCGCAUGCACG